UGGCCUUGACAUCCCCGGAACCUUGCAGAGAUGCGAGGGUGCCUUCGGGAACCGGGUGACAGGUGCUGCAUGGCUGUCGUCAGCUCGUGUCGUGAGAUGUUGGGUUGAGUCCCGCAACGAGCGCAACCCUUGCCCCUAGUUACCAGCGGCUCGGCCGGGAACUCUAGGGGGACCGCCGGUGACAAACCGGAGGAAGGUGGGGAUGACGUGGUCGGAUUCUAAG
Molecule: unclassified non-coding RNA, 223 nt
Filed under: uncultured Gammaproteobacteria bacterium
Lineage: Bacteria; Pseudomonadati; Pseudomonadota; Gammaproteobacteria
Description: contains 16S-23S intergenic spacer region
Rfam family: Bacterial small subunit ribosomal RNA
Source: RNAcentral